GGUGAACGCUAGCGGUGCGCCUAACACAUGCAAGUCGGGCGAGAAAGUUUCUAGCUUGCUAGAAACCAGAAAGCGGCGAACGGGUGAGUAACACGUUGGUAUCUGCCCCCAAGUCAGGGAUAGCCAUUGGAAACGAUGAUUAAUACCGGAUAGUCUCUUCGGAGUAAAAAUUUAUUGCUUGGGGAGGAACCUGCGUUCUAUCAGCUUGUUGGUGAGGUAAUAGCUCACCAAGGCUAUGACGGAUAACUGGUCUGAGAGGAUGAUCAGUCACAAUGGAACUGAGACACGGUCCAU
Molecule: ribosomal RNA, 294 nt
Filed under: uncultured bacterium
Lineage: Bacteria
Description: partial 16S ribosomal RNA
Rfam family: Bacterial small subunit ribosomal RNA
Source: RNAcentral